AUGAUGUGAUUGUGUACUAGAUGA
This 24-nucleotide non-coding RNA is filed under the name Arabidopsis thaliana (thale cress). The record is from RNAcentral. Lineage: Eukaryota; Viridiplantae; Streptophyta; Magnoliopsida; Brassicales; Brassicaceae.